This 225-nucleotide ribosomal RNA is filed under the name uncultured Acinetobacter sp. Its description in RNAcentral is "partial 16S ribosomal RNA". It matches the Rfam family "Bacterial small subunit ribosomal RNA", at positions 568 to 792 of the family's 1533-position model. Lineage: Bacteria; Pseudomonadati; Pseudomonadota; Gammaproteobacteria; Moraxellales; Moraxellaceae. The record is from RNAcentral.
UGCGUAGGUGGCGUGGUAAGUCAGAUGUGAAAUCCCCGAGCUUAACUUGGGAAUUGCAUUCGAUACUGGUUGGCUAGAGUAUGGGAGAGGAUGGUAGAAUUCCAGGUGUAGCGGUGAAAUGCGUAGAGAUCUGGAGGAAUACCGAUGGCGAAGGCAGCCAUCUGGCCUAAUACUGACACUGAGGUGCGAAAGCAUGGGGAGCAAACAGGAUUAGAUACCCCAGUA